This 497-nucleotide ribosomal RNA is filed under the name uncultured bacterium. Its description in RNAcentral is "partial 16S ribosomal RNA". It matches the Rfam family "Bacterial small subunit ribosomal RNA", at positions 28 to 507 of the family's 1533-position model. The record is from RNAcentral.
GAUGGACGCUGGCGGCGUGCCUAAUACAUGCAAGUCGAGCGAACGGACGAGAAGCUUGCUUCUCUGAUGUUAGCGGCGGACGGGUGAGUAACACGUGGAUAACCUACCUAUAAGACUGGGAUAACUUCGGGAAACCGGAGCUAAUACCGGAUAAUAUGUUGAACCGCAUGGUUCAACAGUGAAAGACGGUCUUGCUGUCACUUAUAGAUGGAUCCGCGCUGCAUUAGCUAGUUGGUAAGGUAACGGCUUACCAAGGCAACGAUGCAUAGCCGACCUGAGAGGGUGAUCGGCCACACUGGAACUGAGACACGGUCCAGACUCCUACGGGAGGCAGCAGUAGGGAAUCUUCCGCAAUGGGCGAAAGCCUGACGGAGCAACGCCGCGUGAGUGAUGAAGGUCUUCGGAUCGUAAAACUCUGUUAUUAGGGAAGAACAUAUGUGUAAGUAACUGUGCACAUCUUGACGGUACCUAAUCAGAAAGCCACGGCUAACUACGUG